Cyprinus carpio carpio is the source of this 561-nucleotide long non-coding RNA. NCBI's taxonomy places the organism in Eukaryota, Metazoa, Chordata, Actinopteri, Cypriniformes, Cyprinidae. The record is from Ensembl.
GCCUCUGCAGUCAAAUCAUCACAGUGGAUGGCAACAAGCAUCAGAGUCCUGUCUGACCAAUCAGAUUCGAUGUCUGGUUUUCCCUCUCUCCCCUCAUUUCUCACGUCUCUCUGUGACUCAUUCUGACACACUCCACAUCCGGAUGAAAGAGACGGCGUCCCACGGGAAGAGACACGGAGACAGAGCCGAGGAGUGUCUGUAUGACUCUGGCCUUUGGUUCAGUUUAGGUUACACAAACGUGCCUCGUCCUCGAGUCUCCGUGACCCAGACCCAGAUCACGAGAGCCCCGUAUCUCAGGCAGAUGAGCUUAUCUUGACCUACUUUCUGCUUGCUGCGACGUGCUUAUUUGGACCUUGACACUAACACCGGGUCUUUUCAGGUGAAUUCAGAGCGAAACGUAGACGUUAGUGAGCUCUCCGUGACUCAUAAAGUGUUGCAGAUAUAAGUGUCACGUCAUCGUUCAAAACACAUUGCUUCAGCUUGUCCUGACGUUCAGAAGACACCAGUGUGUAACUAGCGUUUCUGUAAAUAUAUGCCCACAAGAAGGAAAAAAUACAAGUG